UACGUAGGGUGCAAGCGUUGUCCGGAAUUAUUGGGCGUAAAGAGCUCGUAGGCGGUUUGUCGCGUCUGCUGUGAAAACCCGAGGCUCAACCUCGGGCCUGCAGUGGGUACGGGCAGACUAGAGUGCGGUAGGGGAGAUUGGAAUUCCUGGUGUAGCGGUGGAAUGCGCAGAUAUCAGGAGGAACACCAAUGGCGAAGGCAGAUCUCUGGACAGUUCCUGACGCUGAGGCACGAAGGUCAGGGGAGCAAACGGG
This 253-nucleotide ribosomal RNA is filed under the name uncultured bacterium. RNAcentral's name for it is "partial 16S ribosomal RNA". It matches the Rfam family "Bacterial small subunit ribosomal RNA", at positions 524 to 776 of the family's 1533-position model. The record is from RNAcentral.